GAAAUCUGCUGUGAAAUAAACUAAAUAAGUAAACAAAAAAAGGUGUGAUGAGACCAUGAUUCACAUGCUCUCAUGUUUUACAGAUCAAAAAUGGAGAAGCCUGUUCGAAGACAGUUGCUGAACAUACUGGAUGAUUUAGGAAAAAAGGAGCUAGAACGUUUUCACUGGCACCUGCGGAUUGGACCCGGAGGUGAUUUCAUGACCAUUAAAAAGAGCCACCUGGAGAAAGCAGACACAAUGAGAGUAGUGGAUCUUAUGGUGGGAACAUAUACUACUGGCCGUGUGAUGGAGGUGGCGGAGUUGAUUUUAAAGAAGAUUAAAAAAGGUCAUUCAGAGAAAGAAGAAACAAACAAACAGUGCGGAAGUCCCUCAGUCCAGGAAGCUUCAUUGCUUUUAUCAGAAUCAGAAGGAAGUCCCUCAGUCCAGGAAGCUUCAUUACUUUCAUCAGAAUCAGAAGGUAAGAUUCCACGAGUUUGUCUGAAGAGACGUGGAUAAGGCAGAAACACACAAAGUCUGAGCUGACCAAUCAGAGCUCUGAUUCUUUCCAUGCGAUAUCUCUGUAGCCUCAGUUUAGCUCUCCAGUAUGUCAGAGC
RNAcentral lists this long non-coding RNA (593 nucleotides) under Oreochromis niloticus (Nile tilapia). RNAcentral describes it as "lncRNA (ENSONIG00000027616.1)". Lineage: Eukaryota; Metazoa; Chordata; Actinopteri; Cichliformes; Cichlidae. The record is from RNAcentral.